CCUACGGGCGGCAGCAGUGGGGAAUAUUGGACAAUGGGGGGAACCCUGAUCCAGCCAUGCCGCGUGUGUGAAGAAGGCCCUCGGGUUGUAAAGCACUUUCAGUGAGGAAGAACGCCUGGUGGUUAAUACCCAUCAGGAAAGACAUCACUCACAGAAGAAGCACCGGCUAACUCCGUGCCAGUAGCCGCGGUAAUACGGAGGGUGCGAGCGUUAAUCGGAAUUACUGGGCGUAAAGCGCGCGUAGGUGGCUUGAUAAGCCGGUUGUGAAAGCCCCGGGCUCAACCUGGGAACGGCAUCCGGAACUGUCAAGCUAGAGUGCAGGAGAGGAAGGUAGAAUUCCCGGUGUAGCGGUGAAAUGCGUAGAGAUCGGGAGGAAUACCAGUGGCGAAGGCGGCCUUCUGGACUGACACUGACACUGAGGUGCGAAAGCGUGGGUAGCAAACAGGAUUAGAUACCCGGGUAGUC
This 465-nucleotide ribosomal RNA is filed under the name Vreelandella stevensii. Its description in RNAcentral is "partial 16S ribosomal RNA". It matches the Rfam family "Bacterial small subunit ribosomal RNA", at positions 338 to 795 of the family's 1533-position model. Lineage: Bacteria; Pseudomonadati; Pseudomonadota; Gammaproteobacteria; Oceanospirillales; Halomonadaceae. The record is from RNAcentral.